RNAcentral lists this ribosomal RNA (579 nucleotides) under Micrococcus sp. WH009048s. Its description in RNAcentral is "bacterial SSU rRNA". It matches the Rfam family "Bacterial small subunit ribosomal RNA", at positions 125 to 719 of the family's 1533-position model. Lineage: Bacteria; Bacillati; Actinomycetota; Actinomycetes; Micrococcales; Micrococcaceae. The record is from RNAcentral.
CCUGCCCUUGACUCUAGGAUAAGCCCGGGAAACUGGGUCUAAUACUGGAUAGGAACGUCUACCGCAUGGUGGAUGUUGGAAAGAAUUUCGGUCAUGGAUGGACUCGCGGCCUAUCAGCUUGUUGGUGAGGUAAUGGCUCACCAAGGCGACGACGGGUAGCCGGCCUGAGAGGGUGACCGGCCACACUGGGACUGAGACACGGCCCAGACUCCUACGGGAGGCAGCAGUGGGGAAUAUUGCACAAUGGGCGAAAGCCUGAUGCAGCGACGCCGCGUGAGGGAUGACGGCCUUCGGGUUGUAAACCUCUUUCAGUAGGGAAGAAGCGAAAGUGACGGUACCUGCAGAAGAAGCACCGGCUAACUACGUGCCAGCAGCCGCGGUAAUACGUAGGGUGCGAGCGUUAUCCGGAAUUAUUGGGCGUAAAGAGCUCGUAGGCGGUUUGUCGCGUCUGUCGUGAAAGUCCGGGGCUUAACCCCGGAUCUGCGGUGGGUACGGGCAGACUAGAGUGCAGUAGGGGAGACUGGAAUUCCUGGUGUAGCGGUGGAAUGCGCAGAUAUCAGGAGGAACACCGAUGGCGAA